Molecule: non-coding RNA, 29 nt
Filed under: Homo sapiens (human)
Lineage: Eukaryota; Metazoa; Chordata; Mammalia; Primates; Hominidae
Source: RNAcentral
UUGGUGUCUUACGGCUACAAAGCGUCCAC